UACGAAGGGGGCUAGCGUUGUUCGGAAUUACUGGGCGUAAAGCGCACGUAGGCGGAUACUUAAGUCAGGGGUGAAACUCCCGGGGCUCAACCCCGGAACUGCCUUUGAUACUGGGUAUCUCGAGUCCGGAAGAGGUGAGUGGAAUUCCGAGUGUAGAGGUGAAAUUCGUAGAUAUUCGGAGGAACACCAGUGGCGAAGGCGGCUCACUGGUCCGGUACUGACGCGUGAGGUGCGAAAGCGUGGGGAGCAAACAGG
RNAcentral lists this ribosomal RNA (255 nucleotides) under uncultured bacterium. Its description in RNAcentral is "partial 16S ribosomal RNA". It matches the Rfam family "Bacterial small subunit ribosomal RNA", at positions 524 to 776 of the family's 1533-position model. The record is from RNAcentral.